CGACCUUCCCCGAAUAGAGGAGGACCGGUCUUCGGUCAAGGGUAUACGAGUAGCUGCGCUCCCCUGCUAGAACCUCCAAACAAGCUCUCAAGAAUGUGACAGCUACCACUAUUUAAUAUGUUUCAAGUACUUUCUUUGUGCACAGUGGUUUGUCAUU
Unclassified non-coding RNA from Mesocricetus auratus (golden hamster), 157 nucleotides. Its record names the gene 7SK. It matches the Rfam family "7SK RNA". From Rfam's summary of the family: 7SK was discovered as an abundant small nuclear RNA in the mid-70s but a possible function has only recently been suggested. Two independent studies have found that 7SK RNA binds the CDK9/cyclin T complex (known as elongation factor P-TEFb). Lineage: Eukaryota; Metazoa; Chordata; Mammalia; Rodentia; Cricetidae. The record is from Ensembl.